Molecule: non-coding RNA, 22331 nt
Organism: Rattus norvegicus (Norway rat)
Lineage: Eukaryota; Metazoa; Chordata; Mammalia; Rodentia; Muridae
Source: RefSeq, a predicted model, not a curated record
GCCGCCCUCCCCCCAACAGUCUAGUUCACUGGGGGUUCAGUCUUAGCAGGACCCAGGCCUUCCCCUUCCACUGGUGCUCUUAUUAAGAUAUUCAUUGCUACCUAUGAGGUCAGAGUCCAGGGUCAGUCCAUAUAUAGUCUUUAGGUAGUGGCUUAGUCCCUGGAAGCUCUGGUUGCUUGGCAUUGUUGUACAUAUGGGGUCUCGAGCCCCUUCAAGCUCUUCCAGUUCUUUCUCUGAUUCCUUCAAUGGGGGUCCUAUUCUCAGUUCAGUGGUUUGCUGCUGGCAUUCGCCUCUGUGUUUGCUGUAUUCUGGCUGUGUCUCUCAGGAGCGAUCUACAUCUGGCUCCUGUCGGUCUGCACUUCUUUGCUUCAUCCAUCUUGUCUAAUUGGGUGGCUGUAUAUGUAUGGGCCACAUGUGGGGCAGGCUCUGAAUGGGUGUUCCUUCAGUCUCUGUUUUAAUCUUUGCCUCUCCCUUCCCUGCCAAGGGUAUUCUUGUUCCCCUUUUAAAGAAGGAGUGAAGCAUUCACAUUUUGAUCAUCCAUCUUGAGUUUCAUUUGUUCUAGGCAUCUAGGGUAAUUCAAGCAUUUGGGCUAAUAGCCACUUAUCAGUGAGUGCAUACCAUGUAUGUCUUUCUGUGAUUGGGUUAGCUCACUCAGGAUGAUAUUUUCCAGGUCCAACCAUUUGCCUACGAAUUUCAUAAAGCCGUUGUUUUUGAUAGCUGAGUAAUAUUCCAUUGUGUAGAUGUACUACAUUUUCUGUAUCCAUUCCUCUGUUGAAGGGCAUCUGGGUUCUUUCCAGCUUCUGGCUAUUAUAAAUAAGGCUGCGAUGAACAUAGUGGAGCACGUGUCUUUUUUAUAUGUUGGGGCAUCUUUUGGGUAUAUGCCCAAGAGAGGUAUAGCUGGAUCCUCAGGCAGUUCAAUGUUGGAAACAUUUUUAAUGUUAGAAACUCUACAGUUGAAAGAAGCCUUAAUUAUCAGUGGCUUUAUGAUACAAAGUUAGAAACAAACAAGGAAAACGUGUGUCCUAGUUUUCUCUCUGUUGCUGUGAUAAAACGCUCUGACUAAAAUAACCAGGGAUGGAGAGGUAUUACACCUACAUUCAUGAAGGAAAUCAAGCAGGAACUGAAAUAGAAGCCAUGGAGGAAGACUGCAUACUGCCUCGCUCUCCUGCUCCUGCUCAGCUAGCUUUCUAAUAUAGCCCAGAACCUUCUGCCUAGGGAUGGGUACCCCCUCAACAGUGGAACUGGCCUUCCUACAUCAAUGAGCAGUCAAGACAAUUCCCCACAGGCUAAUCUGGUUGAGUCACUUCCCAGUCAAAAUUGCCUCAGAAAACUCUAGGCUGUGUCAAGUUGACAGCUGAAGCUAAGGAGACUUCACACCUUGGCGACCUGAUAAAUAAACACAUCACCUUUCCUUUAUUUAUCUGCAUUAUUUCAUAUUAAUAUCAUGAUAUAAAAUACAGUACAACUUUAAGAGUCCUAGAGUCUUUAAAAAUUCCAAUACUUUAAAAACUUGAUGUAUUUAUAGGUAUUAGAAGUCAUUAGAAGUUGGUUUAAUACUGAAUCUAUUUAGCAGUAUAAUAGUAGUAGGUUCUCCUCUAGGCCUACAACCUGUCUAGCUAAAGGUGGUUGGACCAGUAAUAGCACCAGUUACAGGGUUCAUCUUGUGGAAUGGGACUUACAUUCGAGGAGAAAGUGGUUGAUUUCCCAUGAUGUCAUGCCACUAGUGCACCAGUGGGCAUGCCUCCUCAGGCUGUUAUUAUUGUAGUUCACAUUACCCUCCUCUUCCAGCAGCCUGUAGAGACCUUCUAAUGUCCAAUAGGAAUAAGCUACCAAGUGAAUACCAGGUUGAUUUUUUCAUGUUCUGUAACUAAGUAUGUGGUGUCUACAGCAAUAGGGCUUUAUCAUCAGAUUCUAGAAGUUGCCAGUAGCAUUGGUAAAGACUUUUAAUGGAAUGCUAAGACAAUUAGAUGCCUUCCUGUAUCAGUUAGCAAUCAAGAAAAUACCCGGCAGGCAUUCCCAAAUGCCAGUGUGAUUGAUGCACUCUCCUACUUGAGACUCCUCAAGGUAACUUUGUGCUGGGCAGAGUUGACAGCUCUUGCUACCUAGAAGUGAGUAAAGACAGAUAAAAGUUUGUUUUGUCUGAGUAGCUUUCUGGUAAUUAAGUUCUUAUUAAGAUUAAGGCAGUUCACAGAUAAUGUUCCCUUGAGUGUUGUUAAACAGCCAUCACUUUGGAGAAAUGUUUCUUAGAGGUUAGAUUUCUAGCUUUCAAGAUUUUACGUUAUAUGUUUAUGUAUUAUAAGAAAUUACAGGACUAUCUUGAUUAAUCUGAGUGUUUUUAUUGAAAUAAAUCUCGACUGUGACAAAAAAACAGACAAAAACCAAAACCCGAAACAAAAUAAAAACCAACCCAGAUGAGAUUGUGUAAAUAAGGCUCCUGAGGGCCAGUGAAAGGGCCAGGUCCAUACAGAGGAAAAAGACCAAAGAUGCUAUUUUUUGUGUCGCAAAAUUUUUAUAAUAUUAGCACUUUCUGAAACAAAUUUCAAUCCAAUGGGUAUGGAUUCCGAGUGUGGUUUUGCAAUGUGACUCAAAAGGCAUUUAGCAAUUGGUUCCAGAGUGACAAGGGGCACUCUCACAGGCAGAACAUUUGACUACUGGGAAAAGGUCCCUGGUCCAGCUCUAGGCACCCUCUGAGGAACUUUAGUACUGGUGUCCUGUGGUAAAUUCCAGUGUGUCGUCAGCUUGAUUCAUUGUAUCUUUCAGGUUGAGGGUGUAGAAGUAUUUCUCAGUGCCCUCUUUUGCUCCCAAAUAACUGUAGGCAGUUUCUACAUCCACGUAACUCAUGUAGAUCCCAAAUAAAAGACACGGAGACCUGGUACUUUUAUUAACAUGCUCCUGGCACUCUGCUGGACAGCUUCUGAGCGACUGUAACCCUCUAAGGCUAUCAGUACCCAGACACAUGCCCUGUCACUUGCCAUCUCAGUCUCGCCUUGGCUCUCUCUGCUCUAUGUGUGUGCUCUCUCAUCCUGACCUCACGGUGAAUCCUCCUGGUGGCUCCACGUGGUCUCUCCACACCUUUCUUCUCUUCCUGCUCCUCUCUCUAGCCAGGACCCUCUCACUGGGAUCUGAUGUUCCACCUCUAGUGUCCUCUCCUGCCCAAUCAUAGGCUGAUCAGCUCUUUAUUAUCAAUCAAUCAGAGCUGAGGGAAAACAAUUUUUACAUAACAUUGAGACUGGAGAUGCUUGACCAGACCAUUAUCUGUACUGUAAUCAGAUGUCUGGGCACAAAAAUCAUCUGAAUAUACAGUAUGCAAGACCAACCCCCAACAGAGGGGCCCUUCAGAGAGCCAUGGGAGGGAAACCAAGGCAGAAGAGACAGUUCGGACGGAGUCUAGCCUAUCUUCUUGACUGGAGAAGUAGAAUGUUUCAGAACAAGAAAUAUGGUUUUAGGACGUGGUCAUGUUUUGUGUUUCCCUAUGUAGCUAUGGCUGUCCUGAAGCCCACUAUGUAGAACACUUUGGAGAAAUCACAGAGAUCCAGCUGCCUCUGCUUCCCACACACUGGGGUUAAAGACAAGUGCCACCAUGUCUGGCCAACAUCGUGUGCUAAGCAUAGUGUAGACUAAGGAAGGCUUUCUCUUCUAGUCUUUUCCUCAAGUAUACAACACGGAAGUGCAGACUAAACAUGAAAGUUGUUAAAUGUGUGUGAAUUCCAGAAUGGCCUUGGGGUAUGGUGACAUGUGCUUAUGUCACACCUGUGCCACCAGUGUGUGAAUAUUGGGCGUAGGUCUGCAGGAUUGAAAGAAAACACGUACACAGAUCACCCGUUUUCAGCAAGUGCCACCAAGGCGUUACUGAGAUCUCCUUCUAUACCCGAGGCAAAAGCCGUGGAAAAACAACAAGGCAGGUGAAAAUCCCCAGCCAGGAAAACAGGAAAAGUCUGUGUGGUGAGAGUUCCGGCCCAAUCAGGGGCAUAAACAACUUCUUAACAACAACAAGCAGGAAGGCUCGGUGGGGAGGAAGGGUGCCAUGGAAAAUCCCAGCCCCAAAUCAGGGGCUAAGAGCAGCUGCCGAGGGUGUAAACAUUUUCUUGCUAUAGCAGGCUAAAAGGCUCAGCGAGGGGGAAGGGAAACACCAAGGUAGGGCCCAACAUGCUUAAUCCCCGAUCUCAUCUCCAGACAUUCUGAAUUGUUAGGUCUGAGCUGGGGCUGGAAAAGUUGAACUUUACAAUGGCACUCUCCCUUUUCCCCAUCCUCUCACAGCAGUGUGUUAGGGGGUUUAACUGAGGUGUGAAGACUGAUCUUGAGUAUGGGCCACACCAUAGUGAAUAGAACAUCAACAUGCAUUUCCCUCUACUUCCUGUUUGUGGAGAUAAUAUGACCAGCUUCCUCAUUUUCCUCUGCCUUGUCUUCCCCAGCAUCAAGACAGUGUCCUCCUAGACUGCAAGCCAGAACAAACCCUUCCUUCUUUAACUUGCUUCUGUCAGGUAGUUUGUCAUAGUGAAGAAAAAGUAACUAACACAGGGAGAGAAUUCAAAGAGUAUAGAAAUGUGAGGCCUAAAAACGGGGAUAUUGCUGAGUCUGUUCCUGAAAGCCAUGACUGAAGCCUGCCGGCCUCUACUGAUGUCAUUGCUUAGGAGCUCAGCUACUCAGACUUUAGUGCAGGGCUUCUGCAACCUUACUGUGGUUUCAGAAAUAGUAACAAUGUUCUGCUCUCAGAGCUCUUGGAGUCCCCUUCUGAUUAGUGAGUGUUCUCUGCACACACGUCCCACACCACUCACCUGGGUUCACUCGUCAUUUCCACAUUGUCAUUCCUGCCUUUUUCUUUCUUUCUUUGGUGUAUGUGUUUGUGUGUGCAGAGGACAGAGGGAAACAUCAGGUGUUCUUUACACACGCACGCACGCACACACACACACACACACACACACACACACAGAGAGAGAGAGAGAGAGAAAGAGAGAGAGAGAGAGAGAGAGAGAGAGAGAGAGAGAGAGAUUCAAGACAAGAAAUGCAGAAAAGAGAGAAUUUCAUACAGGAGAGAAAAAGAAACAAAGAAUGUCCUGGUGAAGUAGUCUGGGAUCUAUUGAAAAAAAGAAAAGUAAAAGAGAAAUGUUCAAUAUUUGAACAUGUGGAAAUUUAUUUUGAAAGACAUUUUAGAGAAAAAUCAAAGUUUGUAAAAAAAAGUAUAGAUAAAGUAUACUUAAGGGAAAUAAAGCAGUUGGGCAGUUAUGGUUACACCUUUAAUCUCAGCACUCAGGAGGCAGAGGCAAGUGGAUUUUUGUGACUUUUGAGGUCAUCUUGGUCUACAGAACAAGUUCCAGGACAGCCAGGGCUACACAGAGAAACCCUGUCUUGACCAAAACCAAAACCAAAACAAAACAAAGCAAAAAGAAGGAAAGAAAUAUUGUUAUUAUCCCCAGGAAAUGAAACAGGCGAACACAAAUUCUUAGACCUACUUAAGCAUGACAUUCGUACUAUUACACAUUCUCCAAAACAACACAAAUGAUUAAAAGUGACAUACUUGUCUAUAAAAGGAUGCUAAUAACUUAAUUACGUUCAACUUAGCUAUACUCACUUAAUCCCACGGUACCAGAAUAAACAACCAAAGCUUUGGAAAGUGGAGCCUGCACAGGAAGACUGCAAAAAUUGGCAGGGUUUAUGAUAACCCUUAAAGCAAUGUUUGACUGAAAAAUAAUUGUGGAAGAUACUUUGAUAUAAGAACAAAUAUGCAACAGUGGACACAUUCAUGUAGUGGGAUAAAGGUCACUGUAGAGCUGUCUCCAUAGAGGCCCUUUAUGAUCUUCAUUCUAUGUUGUCCUCAUGAUGGUUCACAGAACUUCUUCAUUGUCCACUCAAGACCUGGGAAGUUCACAACCUUCUCCUGUCCACAACCUUAGGAUCUAAUACAGGUCCUUGGGCUGAAGAGAUGUAUUCAGGUAUAAGCACUUGGGUGUCUCAAAACUUAGGCACAGUACCUUUCCCCGAAGCUUUGUGAUUUAUAACAUAAAGCAUAGCAUGUAAAUCCUAGAGUCCCUCUAGUAUUAUUUGUAUGUAUGUAUGUAUGUAUGCAUGCAUGCAUGUAUGUAUGAAUAUAUAUGUGUAUAUAUAUAUAUAUAUAUAUAUAUAUAUAUGUUAUAGUGUGUGUGUGUCUGUUGCUUCCACAGCCUGAAGAAAGGGGGAAGGAUGUGAGCAGGGUAAAGCUAGGACUGGACAAGGUGCUCUCUAGGUUGAAUUUGCUGAAGAAUCAGUGCUAGUCUUACAAACUCUCUAGAAAUAAGUAUAAACUUCCUGUAUAUUGUAGGAAUGCUAUAUAUGUGAAUAUAAAAGGAAAUUAUUAGACCACUCUCAUAGAGCAGAGGGUAUAGCUCAAGGGGUAGAGCAUCUGCUUCAGGUCAUUUGACUUCUGACCAGUGAGGUUCUGGUUCAAGUCUGGGUGCUUCCUGAUAAGUGAGUUUUUCUCCCCAGAGAAGCUGUUGCUCAUACUCAUUUUUGCUUUUCUUCCAUUUAUCCAGUUCUUCUGGACCUUUCGAAGGCUGAGCUGUUAGUUAUAGAAAGAACCUGCAUUCUAGGAAAGAGCCAACAGAGGGCUCACUGUGAAGUUCAUCCAGGUCAUAGUCACUCUACUAUGAUCCAGGUAGUCAUCCAGGAAGUGACCCUGAGGCUCACUCAGUGCAGGAAACCCAGUCUGAAGAAGCCUGAAUGGUUGAUGUGGUUUGAAUAAGAAUGUCUCCCCCAUAGGCUUAUAUAUUUGGAAGCAUAGUCACCAGGGUAUGGCACUAUUUGAGAAAGAUUGGGAGUUGUGACCCGAUGGACUGGGUAUGGCCUUGUUGGAGGAAGCAUGUCAUUGGGGGUAGGCUUUGGGAUUUUAAAAUCAGGACCAAUCUUCCCACCCCGCUGCCUGUUUGCCUGAGGAUCAAGAUGUAGCUGUCAGCUAUGGCUCUAGCACCAUGUGUGCUGCCAUACUAACUACCAAUGGGUUAAGCCUCUAAACUGUAAAUAAGGCCCCAACUAAAUGUAUGCUUUUCUACAAGUUGCCUUGAUUGUGGAUCACUGUAGGCUUAGAAUUUUUCAAAACCAACUUAAUAAGUUUUCUUAAAUGUCUUAACCUCCCUUCUAGCCUACCACCCACUAGAGGUAGUAGAAAGGAAAGGUUAAUAGAGCAAAGAAGGAUGUGGGCCUGUUAAGAAAUAUUUCUUUGGAACAAAUCCAAUCUGCUUUGUUAGGAUAUCACCAGUUCAGUUCACAGGAAUCGGAAUCUGCACCUCGAUCCACUCACAAACACCAUUCACAAAUCAGCAAUGACAGGUUGAUCCAGAAGAAACUGCAAGGCUCUGACAAUUGGUCCAAGUCAGUGGAAGCAGGAAGACGCUGCCAGAACACCACUAGAAGUUUUUGGUGUGUUUCUUUCUAUGAAGUUACGACAAACAAUGACCAACAAAGAAUGGUAAGGCAUACCAACACCACAUUCAGCAUCAUCAGCAAAGACCAGCAUCAGCAAAGCCCAACAGUGACCACAAAGCAAGGCACACCAAUACCAUCCAGCAGCAUCCAGUGUUUGUUGUGCUAUAUUUAUAUCCUUUCCAAUCAUCACUUCUUCUCUCAGGCAUCAGCUCUAGGAAAACAUCACAUGCCUUUUUUUCCAGGCUGCUCCAAGGAAAACACUAUAUAUCUGUUCUUAGCAAAAUAUCUUUUCAUGUGUCUGCUUUAGCAAAAAAUCCUCUCAGAAGACAGUUUCUAGAGAAACAUCACAUGACACAACUGAGUCUUCAAAGAAACCAGAAAUUUCUACUUCAGAUCAUGGUAUUUCUUCACAGCAAUAGAACAAAGACUAAGGCAGGGAUUGAGGAGCUGGCUUCUUCCUCAAGCAACACUUCUCAUCUCUCUAGGGAUCUGCAUCACAUCCCCAGCUUGGGUACUCUGUCCUCUGCCUCCUGCCGCUUCUAUGGUAAUAUGACUCCUGGAUUGGUCGUCUAUUUGAAAGAAGUCUCUUUGAAGAAUUAGAACAAUGUCCAUGCUUUCUCUCUGUGUUUAAAUGGAUGUCCAGGAUGGGACAAGCUCCUUGAGUGUUCACAUAUCAUUUCAAUAUAAUUGAAUGAUUGAAUAGUGAACAGCAGAGUGAGCGCCCUUCUGAGCUCCUGGAGUUGCAAAGAUGCAAACACAGGGCCUAAACCUUUCAGCCAGGGAGGCUGUAGGUCCCAGACUGGUUUUCUUUCUCCUGGGUUCCCAAUUACCCCUUCCUUAAGACCUUAGCUUUGCCCUCAUCCUGCUUAUCACCAGUGAUGCCAUCGUGUUCUACAGAGGGUGCAGUGGUGUUACUUAAUCUUCCUUGUCAGCUAGGUUAGAUUUAAAACCAACAUUGAAACACAAACUUAGGUGUAUUUAUGAAAGUGAUUAAAGUAUAAUGUCACUAGCUUCUAUUAAAGCAAAGCUUCUACCCAGAAUCAUAGCCCCAUUAGCACCGUAUAGAUAAUCCCUGAAUACAAUUACCUAAUCAGCAUGAUAGAAACAUAGAAGAUAAUUUAAACAAAAGUUGAGAUAGAAAUAUAUGUGAAAAAUGAAUAUAGCAAGAGGCACAUGACUUAUAAUCCUUAUCUACAAAAGCUGGUCAGUUACUGAUUUCAAGAUUGGAUUAAAUUAGACACACUGUAGAAUAGUGAAUUUAUUUAAGGGCACACAGACAGACUAGAAGGUAGAGCCAGAAUGAAUCCAUCUUAGAAACAGGAAAGAUAUACCAAAAGGAGGAGGAUAUUUUUCUUGGUAAACUUUAAAAACAUUUCACUUCUAAAUACAAUUGUACAAGAUUCUUUGGAAAAAAAACAAAAAACAUUGUCUUAGUUACUGUUUUAUUUCUGUGAAAAGACACCACAAUGAAGGCAGCACAUAAAAGGAAACAUUUAAUUGGGUGCUUACUUCCAUUUUCAGAGGGUUAAUUCAUGAUCAUCACUGUGGGGAGUGGGAUGACUGGCAGGCAGGCAUGGUGCUGAGAGCUUACAGGAUCCACAAGCCUGAACCUUCAUCAGCCUUUGAAACCUCAAAACCUAACCCCAGUAACGCUCUUACCUCAAAAAUUCAAUACCUUCUAAUUCUCCCCAAACAAUUCUAAUAACUGGGGACCAAGAAUGCAAGCAUUUGAGCCUAUGGGGCAAUUCUUACUCAAAUCAGCACUCAAGUGUCAAAUUAAAACCAUCCAUGCUUUUGGGGUAGAUCUGCAAGUCAAGAUGGGACCCAUAGCUUCAGCAUUACUUAGUUUUAAACCAGAGGCCCUCUUUAUCUGCUAUCUUCCUGAUACUCCUCAGAGCUCGUCAGUGAACCACUCAGUCCUGAAGAGACAUUUUUACGAACUAUCCAGAAACCAACCUCAGAGUCUAACACACAAACCAUACAUGGGCUAGAGAGAUGUUUUCACAUGCAGGUACCUACCAUUUGUGGCCCAAAAUAUACCAGGGUCUCUUCAUACCAAGUGCUUGUUGCUUUACUGAGGAAGUCAGACAUAUAACUCUUUUAAAGACCCUUGUAUUAGCUUAUGUCCUCAUGCCUCCUCCAACUGUGCUGUUUGAACAGGCUGAGAUGUGGGAGAGUGCUCACAUGACAACAGAGGCAGAGUUGGAGACACUGUGGGCAGGACAGGAACCUCUCUGGGUUGUUUGUGGUGGCAGGAGUACUGGUCUUACCAAGUCUGGUGAGACAACAAAAAACUUAAGCUUUAGGAAUGUAGAAAGUGAAAGAUACUUACUACACAUGUCUGAGAGGGAAGGGAUAUAGCUCUGAGGUAGAAUAUUUGACUUCAGAUUAAGAGGUCCCUGGUUCAAAUCAUGGUGACCCCUACCAUAUAUUUAUAUCACACACACUCAGUUCUAUGUUUCUUUCUUUCAUUCUUCAGCAGAGCUUGGAGCUCCAGCCCAGCCGUUGAAUACCUGUCAUAUGAUGGAUAGUCUCCUGUUCUCUUCCUGCAGGCUGGGUGUCCUUCUUGUUAUUAAUAUCUGUCUCCCCUAUUCUGGCAUAUAUCUAUCUUCUUUGGUUCUCUUGAGUUCAUAAAAACAAGACAAAGACUACGACAGAAAAAUUCUUCUGCAGUUUUCCAGGCAAAGCAGUUAUAGAGGGAGACAAUGUCCGGGGACCAGAAAGGAAAGCCCAACUAUAAAAGUAUCUCUCUCCAUGGCUAUCUGGUAAACCUGUGGUCAAGACUAUGGAGACAAUCAGAAAACCAGGAGGUCUGUGUCAGGUGGACAUUUCCUCUGUGUUUCUCUCCCCCUUCCAGAGCCCACUGCUCACUUCCUUCAUGCUCAGAGGCUAAAGACUACUCAGCUGCUAUACAAGGCAGAGAGAGAUCCUGCAGUGUGGCUGCUGACAGUGUCAACUAUGGCUCUGAUCAAACUCUUGAGUGACAGCCCAUCUGUCAGGGGUACCUGGGUACCCAGGUGAAGGCAGUUGGCCAGCUUAGGAGCUAACCGAGGACAGCAGUGUGAAGUAGGCUCAGGGUCUGCAGGCUGCUCUUCUCCAUUUCCUUGGCUGAUGAUGCUAUUCAAGGACAGGCCUGGAAAGCUGCAGAGCUGAGGAAGGCAUCUCACCUAUCAGGUCUGGCAGCUUCUGGGAUAUAGGUCUGUGAGCAUCUGUAAUUUAACUUUAUAGUCAGUCCUACUAGAUCACCACUUAGAUGACAAUUAUUAACUGUGUACACUGGUACCAGUGGGGGUAUAGCUCAGGGGUAGAGCAUUUGACUGCAGAUCAAGAGGUCCCUGGUUCAAAUCCAGGUGCCCCCUUAUUUAUGUCUGGUUACUGACUUACCAUUCAUCUUAGGCAGGCUACCCAUGAUGUUAGAAAGUCUUCAUUAGCUGAGGCCUCUGGAAUCAAUGCUAUUAUGCUCCCAGUUACUGCCAUUGAUUAUUUGUUUGUUUUUUUAACACUCCAGAUUUUAUUCUCCUCCUGGUUCACCCUGCAAGGGUUUCACAUCCUACACCUCCUGGAUUAGGUUGGUCUGGAUUAGGUUGGCCUAUGGGCAUGUCUGGAGGGGAUUGUGUUGAGGACUAAGGCAAUGGAUUAUGAAGACCCAGCACUGUUCCCUAGGCAGGUAUGCUGAACUGUGUGAGUGCAGAAAGUGAGCUUAGCCCUGACAAGCAUGCGUGUAUUCAUUUUUCUCUGCUCUUAGCCAUAGAAGUGAUAUGACCAACUGCUUACCGUUCCUGCUGCCUUGACUUUCCUGAAAUAAGGGACUGUAACCUGAAAUUGUGAGUUAACUUUAACCCUGUUUACCCUCACUUGCCUCCUUUCAGGGCAUUUUUAUCACAGCAGCAGAAAUGAAAGUAUGACAUACCUUCUUCCAGUACCCCCCAACUCAAUGAGCAAUGGUCCAGUGUGGUCUAGGUGCCCAUUGAACGAUGGACUGCAUUCUGAAUUUCAAGACUCUGUUGGCAGGCUAAGAUGAUAGUGGACAGAGUCUGAGGCUGUGCCUGCAUGGAGAAAUGCUACCUGAAGUCAAAGACUCAUAGGAGGCAGAAGGCAUCAGCAGAGGUGCUGAACUUUUAAAGCCACUAACUCGCUAAUGUCAGCUGUUGAGGAGAUGCCAGAGGAGGUCUCUUUCUGCUUAGGAAGAUGGUUUGUUCCUUUUGUAAGAUUGGUACAUUAGGAUGUGACUGAAACAUCCAUUGGGCUGACUGGUUUGAUUCCAAAGUACAGGACCUAUAGGAUGCUCACUGCUGGAAAUGUAGGGAAUAGUAUUGAAAGUAUAUAACAUGGCUGUCAUGAUGACCCAUUAAGACAUAUAUAUAUGAACUUGCAGAGCUGAAAGGCUAAACUUCAGAGUAAAGCAAUGACGGUGUGACUAUCUGUGACAGGCUGUUCUUGCCAUCCAUUCUAUGAGAAGGUUUGACGUCCCAUGAGAACUGAGUGGUUCAGAACGAGAAUUCAGAGGCAAUGCAGAUAGAACUUUGCUGUUGGAAAAAGGGAAAGAGAUCUUUCUCCAUGGCAGGAGGCCUUGACUAAAUCAGUUCACAGAAGUAGAGAACCCAGAGCCUUCCCGUUAGCUACAUAUUGGCAAUGUAGUUGGAUGCCCCUUAUGAAGACUGAUUUGAGUGAAGUGAUGCCUGGUAAAUUCUCUUCAUGGAAAAGAGCAUCCAGGAAGAAUGAAGCCCACAGAAGCCCAAUGGGUCCAUAUAUGUGUCACUGAGCUGCAUUGUGACAAAUGGAGUCACAUCACUGGAACCUCAUGGUGUGGGAGCUCUGCUGACAAGCCUUGAUUCCCCGACCUGCCCCCAACAUCCCCAGGUCCUGACUGAGGAGAAGGCAGAGGCUCUGGCUUAUUGUAGGAAUUCAGAUUGUGAUUUGUGGUGGAAAAGAAACUGUGAGAUGAAUGAAUGGCCUCUGGGAGCUGAACAGGAAACAGUUUGGUCAGCUGGUGAUGGUUCUGGUUUAGUGACAUAUAUAGUAUAUUAUGGGAUCCAAUCAGGGUCACACAGGUGAGAUGCACCACGGAAACCUCACACCACAAGGGUGUAGCUCAGGUUAGACUAUUGAACUACAGACUUGGGUUCUCAGUUCAAAUCCAGCAGACUCCUGCUGAUGCGUCUCUUCAUUACAAGCCUAUGAUUGUCUCCUCUCUUCAGUGUUCUGCUUUCCAGUCACCUCCAAAACUGUCCCUCUAGGACCCUAUAGCUGCGCUUUGCAAACAUCAGAUAUCAAUCAUAAGUGAGAGUCCCAUCAAUGUUUAAUGAUCUGUGUCUAUUUCAGAAGGUCUUAAUUAGUUGCUCCAUAAACCUUCCAUUGUGGAGGGAUAGCCUGAAUCUGAGGCUGCUGAGUUAUUCUGAGGCUAAGUCAGUGGCUCACUUUGUCCCACUCUCCCCACUGUGCGGCAGCAAACCCUGUCCUUCAGUCUUUUUAUUUUUUUACAUUUUAUGAGUUUGGCUGUUUUGUCUGCAUGUUUGUCUGUAAAAUAUGUGGUUUCCUGGUGCCCAAGGUAACCAGAAAAGCAUUUCAGACCUCUUGGACCUGGACUUACAGACUGUUGAGAGAUGCCAAGUGUGUGCUAGAAAUCAAACCUGUGUCUUCUUCAAAGCAACAUGAGGUCUAAAGCAUCAAGCCAUUGCCCCAGGCUCCAGCCCUGCAGUCCUGUCUCAGCUUUCCACCCUUCAGUCUCUGUUUUCUUAGGAGACAAUUCUCUUACAUUGGUUUCCUUUCUUCUUUCUUUGUUCUUCAACCUAAGAAUCCUCUGUUCAGAGUUUAAAGUUCACAGUGAGGUGACUCUGUGACAAAAUGACUGCUUCUGGCCUCAGACAUCAGGAUAAGGGCCGUGUUUACCUUGUCCUGGUCACUUGUGCCCUACCAGGUUCCCCUCACACCACAUACAGUUUGUGUGUGAGAAGACACCCCAGUGUUUGGGAUUCACCAUGCAGAGGGAGGAGAUCUGUCAUCACCCAUCUGCUUGGUCAGCAGUGUAAGGUGCAUCCCAGCUGGUGUGUGUGUGUGUGUGUGUGUGUGUGUGUGUGUGUGUGUGUGUUCCUUGGAUCUCUGAUCUUUCAGUGGACCAAGUCUUCAUCAUAUUUAGAAGGGGACAUGAGGUCCCUAAUCCUAGGCCAUGGCACCUUCAGUAGAAAGAAAGGGUUUCUGCAUCUAGAACCCUGUAUGGAAGGAAGCCAGCACAGCAUGUGGAGUGGGCAGCAGGUAAAGUCCCUAAAGCAAGGAGAUAAAGAGAGGGCUGACUUCUGCAUCAACUGGAGGACUCCAGUGGAUCCUCCAGAGCUGGGGAUUGUGAAUCCCAGGCUGUGGGGGUGAAGCACACAAGCCACCAGGAUUCUAGGCAGCUCAUUGGCAUCCAAUGGUGGGUGUUGGCUGACACCUGCUCUAAACGGUCAGGAUCUGUGUGGUCAAAGUUGUGCUUCAGUGUUUGAAGUUUCACUGCACAGAACAAUAUUUAUUCCCACCAAAGACCUGAACUUUUCACAGGCAGCCUUUGCUAUAAUGCUGUGUGAAGAGCUAAGAGCCUGACAGGGCUGGAGCUCCAUCAUGUACCAUGGACAGCUCCACAGUCAGCUGGCUUUGCUGAAGACACACAGAGAGAAUGCAGACCCCUCCACUGUGUAGUGGCCUCAGCUAUUUCUGCAGGGUGGAUAGGAUUGCAUAAAACUGAAACUGAAAACAAUAAUCAAAUUACCAUAAUGCUGUCUAGUGUGCUGGCUCAGCAGACAUCAGCACUUGCUGCACGAGCCUGAGAAUCUAAGGUGGAUAUGUGUCAUAUGUGUAUUUUUCUUUCCCACAUGAAAAGGACAGGCAUAUAGGAACAUAGAUGUGAUCCAAGCAAUCGUACAGGAAGAUGGGAGUUGACAGGAGACUCUUUCUGGAAGAUCAUGAAGAGUUAGCCUGGAGUAUGUAUCCAUGUCUCAAGCAAUAAGAGAGACUCUGCUUCAAAUAAAGCAGAAGGUGAGAGCUGACACCUCUGACUUUCCUCUGAGCUCCCCACGUGCUCCAUGGUAAGCACAUGCCCUCACAAACACAUGAUACUUGCACAUCCACAGAGAUAUCCACACAUACACACACAUACAUGCACACUCAUUCCUACACACACAUGCAAUUGUAAGCAUACACACACAUACCAGUGUUGGGAAUUAUCAGUGCCCCUAUCUCUCUCUUUUUUUUCAAAAAUUUUUAUUAUAUAUUUCUUUACUUACAUUUCAAAGGUUAUUCCCCUUCCCAGUUUCCUGUAGAUAAGCCUCCAUUCCCUCCCCUCCUCCUCCCCCAUAGGGGUAUUCCCCCUAUACAUUCCCUUAUUGCCGUCCCCCAUAUUCCCUUGCACUGGGGGUCCAACCUUGGCAACACCAAGGGCUUUCCCUUCCACUGGUGCCUCAACAAGGCUAUUCUCUGCUACAUAUGCAGUUGGAGUCCUGGGUCAGUCCAUGUAUAGUCUUUAGUUAGUGGUUUAGUCCCUGGAAGCUCUGGUUGGUUGACAUUGUUGUUUUUAUGGUGUUGCAAGCUCCUUCAACUCUUUCAAUACUUCCUCUAAUUCCCCCGAAGGGGGUCCUGUUCUCAGUUCAAUGAUUUGCUGCUAGCAUUGACCUCUGUAUUGGACGUGCUCUGGAUGUGUCUCUCAGGAGAGAUCUAUAUCCAGUCUCUUUCCGCAUGUGUAUUUUAGCUUCACCAAUCUUAUCUAGUUUUGGUGGCUGUAUAGAUAUGGGCCACAUGUGUGUCAGGCUCUGAAUUCCUUGAGGCACUGCUCUAAACUUUGCUUCCAUAUCCCCUCCUGUGAAUAUUUUCCCCCUUUUAAGAAGGAGUGGGAGCAUCUGCAUUUUGGUCAUCCUUCUUCUUGAGCUUCCUGUGUUCUGUAGAUUGCAUCGUGGGUAAUUUGAGCUUUUGGGCUAAUAUCCACUUAUUAAUGAGUGCAUACCAAGUGUGUUUUUCUGAGAUUGGGUUACUUCACUCAGGAUGAUAUUUUCUAGUUCAUUCCAUUUGCCUAUGAAUUUCAUCAAGUCAUUGUUUUUGAUAGCUGAGUAGUACUCCAUUGUGUAGAUGUACCAUAUUUUUUGAAUCCAUUCCUCUGUUGAAGGGCAUCUGGGUUCUUUCAAGCUUCUGGCUAUUAUAAAUAAGGCUGCUAUGAACAUAGUGGAGCAUGAGUCUUUGUUGUUUGUUGGAGCAUCUUUUGGGUAUAUGCACAGGAGAGGUAUAGCUGGGUCCUCAGCUAGUGUAAUGUCCAAUUUUCUCAGGAACCUCCAGACUGAUUUCCAGAGUGGUUGCACUAGUUUGAAAUCCCACCAACAAUGGAGGAGUGUUCCUCUUUCUCCACAUCCUCACCAGCAUCUGCUGUCAUCUGAGUAUUUGAUCUUAGCCAUUCUGACUGGUGUGAAGUAGAAUCUCAGGUUUGUUUUGAUUUGCAUUUCCCUGAUGACUAAGGAUGUUGAACAUUUCUUUAGGUGCUUUUUGGCCAUUCAGCAUUCCUCAGCUGUGAAUUCUUUGUUUAGCUCUUUACCCCAUUUUUUAAUAGGCUGAUUUGUCUCUCUGGAGUCUAACUUCUUGAGUUCAUUAUAUAUUUUGGAAAUUAGCCCUCUAUCAGAUGUAGGAUUGGUAAAGAUCUUUUCCCAAUCUGUUGGUUGCCAUUUUGUCCUAAUGACAGUGUCUUUUGCUUUACAAAAGCUUUGCAGUUUUAUGAGGUCCCAUUUGUCAAUUCUUGAUCUUAGAGCAUGAGCCAUUGGUAUUUUGUUCAGGAAAAUUUCCCCAGUGCUCAUGUGUUCAAGACUCUUCCCCACUUUUUCUUCUAGUAGUUUGAGUGUAUCUGGUUAGAUGUGGAGGUCCUUGAUCCACUUGGACUGAAGCUUUGUACAUGGUGAUAAGCAUGGAUCGAUUUGCAUUCUUCUACAUGCCGACCUCCAGUUGAACCAGCACCAUUUGUUGAAAAUGCUGUCUUUCUUACAUUGGAUGGUUUUAGCUCCUUUGUCAAAGAUCAAGUGGCUAUAGGUGUGUGGGCUCAUUUCUGGGUCUUCAAUUCUGUUUCACUGAUCUACCUGCCUGUCUCUGUACCAUUACCAUACAGGUUUUUUUUUUUUUAACACUAUUGCUCUGUAAUACUGCUUGAAGUCAGGGAUGGUGAUUCCCCCAGAAGUUCUUUUAUUGUUGAUUAUAGUUUUCGCUAUCCUGGGUUUUUUGUUAUUCCAAAUGAAUUUGCAAAUUGCUCUUUCUAUCUCUAUAAAGAAUUGAGUAGGAAUUUUGAUGGGGAUUGCAUUGAAUCUGAGGAUUGCUUUUGGCAAAAUGGCCAUCUUUACUAUAUUAAUCCUGCCAAUCCAUGAGCAUGGAAGAUCUUUCCAUCUUCUGAGAUCUUCCUCAAUUUCUUUCUUCAGAGAUUUGAAGUUCUUGUCAUACAGAUCUUUCACUUGCUUGGUUAAAGUCACACCAAGAUAAUUUAUGUUAUUAGGGACUAUUGUGAAGGGUGUCAUUUCCCUAAUUUCUUUCUCAGCCUGUUUACCCUUUAAGUAGAGGAAGGCUACUGAUUUAUUUGAGUUAAUUUUAUACCCCGACACUUUGCUGAAGUAGUUUAUCAGGUUAAGCAGUUCUCUGGUGGAACUUUUGGGGUCGCUUAAGUACACCAUCAUAUCAUCUGCAAAUAGUGAUAUUUUGAUUUCUUCCCUUCCAAUUUGUAUCCUUUGAUCUCCUUUUGCUAUAUGAUUGCUCUGACUAGGACUUCAAGUACUAUAUUGAAUAAGUAGGGAGAAAGUGAGCAGCCUUGUCUAGUCCUUGAUUUUAGUGGGAUUGUUUCAAGUUUCUCUCCAUUUAGUUUAAUGUUAGCUACUGGUUUGCCGUAUAUGGUGUUUACUAUGUUUAGGUAUGGGCCUUGAAUUCCUGUUCUUUCCAAGACUUUUAUCAUGAAGGGGUGUUGAAUUUGUCAAAUGCUUUCUCAGCAUCUAAUGAAAUAAGAUAAAGAACCAUGUGGUUCUUAUCUUUGAGUUUGUUUAUAUAGUGAAUUACAUUUAUGGAUUUUCAUAUAUUAAACCAUCCCUGCAUGCCUGGGAUGAAGCCUACUUGAUCAUGGUGGAUGAUUUUUUUGAUAUGCUCUUGGAUUCAGUUUGCAAGAAUAUUAUUGAGUAUUUUUUACGUCCAUAUUCAUAAGGGAAAUUGGUCUGAAGUUCUCUUUCUUUGUUGGGUCUUUGUGUGGUUUUGGUAUAAGAGUAAUUGUGGCUUCAUAGAAGGAAUUUGGUAGUGCUGUGUCUGUUUCAAUUUUGUGGAAUAGUUUGGACAGUAUUGGUAUGAGGUCUUCUAUGGAGGUCUGAUAAAAUUCUGCACUGAAACCAUCUGGACCUGGGCUUUUUUUGGUUGGGAGACCUUUAAUGACUGCUUCUAUUUCUUUAGGAAUUAUGGGGUUGUUUAGAUGGUUUAUCUCUUCCUGAUUUAACUUUGCUACCUGGUAUCUGUCUAGAAAAUUGUCCAUUUCCUCCAGAUUUUCCAGUUUUGUUGAAUAUAGGCUUUUGUAGUAGGAUCUGAUGAUUUUUUUUAAUUUCUUCAGAUUCUGUCCUUAUGUCUCCCUUUUCAUUUCUGAUUUUCUUAAUUUGGAUACACUCUCUGUGACCUCUGGUUAGUCUGGCUAAGGGCUAUCUAUCUUGUUGAUUUUCUCAAAGAACCAGGUCCUCUUUUGUUGAUUCUUUGUAUAGUCCUUUUUGUGUCUACUCGGUUGAUUUCAGUUCUGAGUUUGAUUAUUUCCUGCCUUCUACUCCUCUUGGGUUUAUUUCUUUUUUGUUCUAGAGCUUUAAGGUGUGCUGUCAGGCUGCUGACAUAUGCUCUCUUCUGUUUCUUUUUGCAGGCACGCAGACCUAUGAAUUUUCCUCUUAGGUCCACUUUCAUUGUGUUCCAUAACUUUGAGAAUGUUGUAUCUUCAUUUUCAUUAAAUUCUAAGAAGUCUUUAAUUUCUUUAUUUCUUCCUUGACCAAUUUUUUUGUGGUUUGCCCUGAAGUUAUCUGUAUUUUGAUGCUAAUUAGACUGCCCCAAGGACAGCUGCCUAGUCAAGGACUCAGAACUCAGGUGACUUCACCAGAACCACCUCCCCAUUGAAUUUGUAAAGUACAGGUGAGGGGCAGGUACAGGAUAGAAGGAGGCCUGUCAUUGGAGGAGAAGGAAGGAUGGGUGGGAGAGAAUUUUGAAGGAAGAGGAGGAGAUGAGGGAGAAAGGAAGAGACAGGAGGGAGAGAGGGGCAGAGAAGCCAUGGCAGGACAAGAUGGCAGGUGAUGUUAAGAUUCUGCUCUGUGUAUUUACAGGUUGUUAUUAAUGUUCUCAAGGGAUGGAUGGUACUGGGCUUUGUAUGUUUCAGUGGGUAAUUAUAUCUUAUGAAUUGGGUCAAAGAUUAUUGUGUUGUGUGUUCUUUUAUGUGAGGGUUUGAAUGUAGGAAAGUGUGCGGCUGGGAUGUGUUUCCGCCAAGAUAUCAGCAGAUAUCUUGGGACACUGCGGUGCGGACCUAGCGGGGUAAUAGACAACAAUACCUAUUUUAUUUUUAUAUUAUUACAACAACACAAGUUGUCAUUGAGUAGAGCAUUGUUCCACUUCCAUGUAUUUGUGGGCUCUCUGUCAUUAUUAUUGUUGUUAUUGAAGACCAGUCUUAGUGUGUGGUGAUCUGAUAGGAUGCAUGGGAUUAUUUCUAUAUUCCUGUAUCUGUUGGGGCUGUUUUGUGGCUGAUUAUAUAGUCAAUUUUGGAAAAGGUUCCACGAGGUGCUGAGAAGAAGGUAUAGCCUUUUCUUUUAGGAUGGAAUGUCCUAUAAAUAUCUGUUCAAUCCAAUUGGUUCUUAACUUGUUAGUUUUUCUAAGUCUCUGUUUAAUUUCUGUUUCCAUGAUUGGUCCAGUGAUGAGAGUGGGGUGUUGAAAUCUCCUACUAUUGUCAUGUGAGGUGCAAUGUGUGCUUUGAGCUUUAGUAAGUUUUCUUUUAUGAAUGUAGGUGCACUUGUAUUUGGAGCAUAGAUAUUUAGGAUUGAGAGUUCAUCUUGGUGGAUUUUUUCCUUUGAUGAAUAUGAAGUGUCCUUCCUUAUCUUUUUUAAUGACUCUUGGUUGAAAGUCAAUUUUAUUUGCUAUUAGAAUGGUAACUCCAGCUUGUUUCUUCAGGCCAUUUGCUUGGAAAAUUGUUUUCUAGCCAUUUACUCUGAGGUAGUAUCUGUCUUUGUCACCGAGGUGUGUUUCCUGCAUGCAGCAAAAUGCUGGGUCCUUUUUAUGUAUCCAGUCUGUUAGUCUAUGUCUUUUUAUUGGGGAAUUGAGUCUGUUGAUGUUUAGAGAUAUUAAGUAAUAGCAAUUGUCGCUUCCUGUUAUUUUCGUUUUUAGAGGUGGAAUUAUGUUUGUUUGUCUUUCUUUUGGCUUCAUUGCAAUGAAAUUAUGUUCUUGCUUUCUGUACGGUAUAGUUUCUCUCCUUGUGUUGGAGUUUUCCAUCUAUUAUCCUUUGUAGGGCUGGACUUGUAAAAAGAUAUUGCAUAAAUUUGGUUUGUCAUGGAAUAUUUUGGUUUCUCCAUCUAUGUUAAUUGAAAGUUUUGCUGGAUACAGUAACUUGGGCUGUCAUUUGUGUUCUCUUAGGGUCUGUAUGACAUUUGUCCAGGAUCUUCUGGCUUUCAUAGUCUCCGGUGAGAAGUCUGGUUAAUUCUUAUUGGCCUGCCUUUAUAUGUCACUUAACCUUUUUCCCUUACUGCUUUUAAUAUUCUUUCUUUGUUUUGUGCAUUUGGUGUUUUAACUAUUAUGUGACAGGAGGAAUUUCUCUUCUGGUCCAAUCAAUUUGGAAUUCUGUAGGCUUCUUGUAUGUUUUUGGGCAUCUCUUUCUUUAGGUUAUGGAAGUUUUCUUCUAUAAUUUUGUUGAAUAUAUUUACUGGCCCCUUAAGUUGGGAGUCUUCACUUUCUUUUAUACCUAUUAUCCUUAGCUUUGAUCUUCUCACUGUGUCCUGGAUUUCCUGUAUGUUUUGGGCUAGGAGCUUUUUGCAUCUUACAUUAUCUUUGACAGUUGUGUCAAUGUUUUCUAUGGUAUCUUCUGCCCCUGAGAUUCUCUCUUCUGUCUCUUGUAUUCUGUUGGUGAUGCUUGUGUCUACGGCUCCUUGUCUCUUCCUUUGGUUUUCUAUAUCCAGGGUUGUCUCCCUUUGUGCUUUCUUUAUUGUUUCUAUUUCCAUUUUCAAUUUUUUCACCUGUUUGGUUGUCUUUUCCUGUAAUUCUUUCAGUGAUUUUUGUUUCCUUUCUAAGGGUUUCCUCUCUAAGGGAGCUGUUUGGCAGAAUCAGUUCAGUCCUAGGCACAGACCAGAACUGCGGUUACCAGCGGCUCUCUGUUCCUAUAUCCCUCUGUCCAGAGGCACUGUGCAGUUUCCCCUUGGAUCAGGAUUGUUGGUCAAGGUGUGCAGAGGUGGCAGUCUGUCCUGCGGCCUCAGGAUGUCUGCGCUCCUGGGUUUUCCACUCUUCCCCACCGCCCCUAUCUCUCUUGAAUACUAAUUUUCAUUAGUAGUGAGUCAGGUUCCCUUGGGCACUGGGGAUGAGAAGUCACAGUGCAUCCCUGGUGAGGCAGUACAUGGAUCAGGUGCUAAUGAGGAGAGUCUACACAGGUACAAGGGCAUAAGUCACUAGUAGAACAAUUGCUUACAGUUCAUGCAAUUUCUGACUCAAGACUGUACCCUGUUGGCCACACUGCUGGCCAUGUCAUGCUCCUGAGACCAUCCACUCUCUGAUUCUUACUUCUCCACAAUUCCGAGGGUGGAAGCCAUUCUUCAUGUUAUUUCUUCUGAUACAUCGAGGGAUUGGCAAAUGGAGACCAAGAGGGAGGAAGAUGGGAGACAAUUGAAGCUACUCAAUCCUUGCUCAGGAAGGCUGGCACAAGAGUCCCUGAAUCAUUAAUGUAAACUGUGCUAUGACUUGGUUAUUAUGAGUUGUGGCUCUGAUUUAACCAAUGUUUUUUCACAUCUGUAGCAUGGAGUUGCUUAUAUAAAAUUAAUAGGUAUAAGGAAGUGUAUCUGAAACAUCCCUAGAGCUUUUUAAGAGAUGCAGGUAUGUCAUCCUAAGGUAUUGUUCGCAGAGGAUCUGGUUUAGGUUUUAUUGAGUAGGGACUAAGGACAUUUGCUUCUCACCUACCUUAUCCCACUUGCCAUAUGUUUUGAACCCAACAAAAGGGGGUUUCAGCUUCAUAACUGGCCAUGCAGGUCAUUAUUGCAAUUCACAGAGUCCACAGCUGUUGAUGACUUCACAAAGGACUCUCCAGUUCCACCCAAGCCAGCCGACAAGGAGGAAGCUUCCUGGUCAGUACCUUCUUGGUUCCCCAUGUCCCGUGACUAAUAUGUCUGGUGUCUUCACCAAUAGCAUUUAGUGAGUGUGCUGGUAGGCAUCUGAGAGCAAUGGCAGUACCCUAGAAUGUCCUGGGGAUCUCAGAAUCACCAGAGUUUAAUGGAAUUGCCCUACUCAGGGGAUUAGGCUCUUCAAGAAGCCAUAAAUUGUCAAAUAAGAAAUCCCAGUGCCAGCAAUAGGGUCUUACCGCCGGGUUGUGGAGAAGAACCAAUACACAAUGUCAUGGGCAUAACUUUUAAAAACAUUGGCAGAAAGAUCCACUCCAUUAGAUGGUACUCAUUUCUAAUUCUACUAACAUGGUCAUGAACCUGGGUCUAGCCUGAAGAGCUCACUUUACACCAAAGGGACCAAAGAAAAGGGAGAUCUUCAUCCCUCUGCUCAUCUGACUGGGUCUCACCAUCUCUCUGGAUGUGAUGGGAGCUGCUAGAGGCAGUCUAAACACACCAUGUAACCUUUGACUUCCAGGAUAAGCUUGACCAGGGUAUAGAUUCCACCAUGGACAGUCUGUGUCCCUCCUGGGACAGAUCAUCUCUCUAGCAGAAGUUGUUUUAUAAAACCAGAGAAUUCUGGCCUUAAUGACUGCUGAA